This 1039-nucleotide ribosomal RNA is filed under the name uncultured bacterium. RNAcentral's name for it is "bacterial SSU rRNA". It matches the Rfam family "Bacterial small subunit ribosomal RNA", at positions 49 to 1062 of the family's 1533-position model. The record is from RNAcentral.
UAAGACAUGCAAGUCGAACGGGAUAUUAUUUGUAGCAAUACAAAUAAUGUUCAGUGGCGCAAGGGUGCGUAACACGUGGGCAACCUGCCCGAGAAAGUGGGAUAGCUCGCCGAAAGGCGAAUUAAUACCGCAUGUGGCUAGUGAGGACAUCCUCACAACGCUAAAGAUGGAGCAAUCUAUCGCUCUCGGAUGGGCCCGCGGCCUAUCAGCUAGUUGGUGAGGUAACGGCUCACCAAGGCUAUGACGGGUAGCUGGUCUGAGAGGACGACCAGCCACACUGGAACUGAGACACGGUCCAGACACCUACGGGUGGCAGCAGUCGAGAAUUUUUCUCAAUGGGGGAAACCCUGAAGGAGCGACGCCGCGUGAAGGAUGAAGGUCUUCGGAUCGUAAACUUCUGUCAUUAGGGAACAAAGCUUUCGGUUAACUGCCGACGAGCCUGAUAGUACCUGAAGAGGAAGGGACGGCUAACUCUGUGCCAGCAGCCGCGGUAAUACAGAGGUCCCAAGCGUUGUUCGGAUUUAUUGGGCGUAAAGGGUGCGUAGGCGGUUGCCUAAGUCAGAUGUGAAAUCCCGGGGCUCAACCUCGGAACUGCAUUUGAUACUGGGUGACUUGAGUACUGGAGGGGAGACUGGAAUUUACGGUGUAGCAGUGAAAUGCGUAGAUAUCGUAAGGAAGACCAGUGGCGAAGGCGAGUCUCUGGACAGUUACUGACGCUGAGGCACGAAGGCUAGGGGAGCAAACGGGAUUAGAUACCCCGGUAGUCCUAGCAGUAAACGGUGCACGUUUGGUGUAGGAGGAUUCGACCCCUUCUGUGCCGGAGCUAACGCGUUAAACGUGCCGCCUGGGAAGUACGAUCGCAAGAUUAAAACUCAAAGAAAUUGACGGGGGCCCGCACAAGCGGUGGAGUAUGUGGCUUAAUUCGAUGCAACGCGAAGAACCUUACCAGGGUUUGACAUGCACUGUGUCGGCGAUGAAAGUCGCCUAGCUGUAGCAAUACAGCGCUUUGCACAGGUGCUGCAUGGCUGUCGUCAGCUCG